GUCCAGGGUAGUCUAGUGGACAUUGCAUCUUCCCGGUGAGCAGAAAAUUGUGGGUUUGAUUCCCAUCCCUAGACA
This is a non-coding RNA of Cordylochernes scorpioides, 75 nucleotides long. The record is from the annotation of a GenBank genome assembly. NCBI's taxonomy places the organism in Eukaryota, Metazoa, Arthropoda, Arachnida, Pseudoscorpiones, Chernetidae.